RNAcentral lists this ribosomal RNA (252 nucleotides) under uncultured bacterium. RNAcentral describes it as "partial 16S ribosomal RNA". It matches the Rfam family "Bacterial small subunit ribosomal RNA", at positions 524 to 776 of the family's 1533-position model. The record is from RNAcentral.
UACGUAGGGGGCAAGCGUUGUCCGGAAUUAUUGGGCGUAAAGCGCGCGCAGGCGGUCAUUUAAGUUUGGUGUUUAAUCCCGGAGCUCAACUCCGGGUCGCACUGAAAACUGGAUGACUUGAGUACAGAAGAGGAGAGUGGAAUUCCACGUGUAGCGGUGAAAUGCGUAGAUAUGUGGAGGAACACCAGUGGCGAAGGCGGCUUCCUGGACCGACACUGACGCUGAGGCGCGAAAGCUAGGGGAGCAAACGGG